RNAcentral lists this ribosomal RNA (274 nucleotides) under uncultured bacterium. RNAcentral's name for it is "partial 16S ribosomal RNA". It matches the Rfam family "Bacterial small subunit ribosomal RNA", at positions 523 to 796 of the family's 1533-position model. The record is from RNAcentral.
AUACGGAGGGAGCAAGCGUUAUUCGGAAUCACUGGGCGUAAAGGACGCGUAGGCGGGUUUGUAAGUCAGGUGUGAAAUCCUACAGCUCAACUGUAGAACCGCACUUGAAACUACAGACCUAGAGUAUGGAAGGGGCAGAUGGAAUUAGUGGUGUAGGGGUAAAAUCCGUAGAUAUCACUAGGAAUACCGAAAGCGAAGGCGAUCUGCUGGGACAUUACUGACGCUGAGGCGUGAAAGCGUGGGGAGCAAACAGGAUUAGAAACCCCGGUAGUCC